This 213-nucleotide long non-coding RNA is filed under the name Setaria viridis. RNAcentral describes it as "long non-coding RNA (SVIR_LNC000362)". Lineage: Eukaryota; Viridiplantae; Streptophyta; Magnoliopsida; Poales; Poaceae. The record is from RNAcentral.
GGGGAGAUUGAGGGGGAUAACGAACAUGGGCCAAUAGGUGUACGGGGCGGCCGCCAUUCCAUAAGGAUUGAACCCAUUUGUUGCCAACACAACACAUACAUUACGAGCCUCUAGAGCUUUCUCAGGAUAAAUCGCAUCAAAGCAUGUCCAGGCUUCAGCAUCGGAUGGGUGUAUCAGCUUCUCAGGAUUGUAUCGACGUCCAUUUUUGUGCCA